UGAGGAAUAUUGGACAAUGGGUGAGAGCCUGAUGCAGCCAUCCCGCGUGAAGGACGACGGCCCUAUGGGUUGUAAACUUCUUUUGUAUAGGGAUAAACCUUUCCACGUGUGGGAAGCUGAAGGUACUAUACGAAUAAGCACCGGCUAACUCCGUGCCAGCAGCCGCGGUAAUACGGAGGGUGCAAGCGUUAUCCGGAUUUAUUGGGUUUAAAGGUUCCGUAGGCGGAUCUGUAAGUCAGUGGUGAAAUCUCAUAGCUUAACUAUGAAACUGCCAUUGAUACUGAAGGUCUUGAGUAAAAGAGAAGUGGCUGGAAUAAGUAGUGUAGCGGUGAAAUGCAUAGAUAGUACUGAGAACACCAGGUGCGAGGGCAGGUCACUAUGUUUUAACUGACGCUGAUGGACGAAAGCGUGGAGAGAGAAC
RNAcentral lists this ribosomal RNA (421 nucleotides) under uncultured bacterium. Its description in RNAcentral is "bacterial SSU rRNA". It matches the Rfam family "Bacterial small subunit ribosomal RNA", at positions 355 to 773 of the family's 1533-position model. The record is from RNAcentral.